GUGCGGCUUAUAGUCCGAAAAUUGGUAUAAUGUCCGCGCAUUUACUCGCGGGAGCCGUGUCAGAAAGCUCGGUGCACACUCACAAGUGCGUGUGCGUACUCAGUAGUACGUAGUAAUUUCAU
Molecule: long non-coding RNA, 122 nt
Organism: Syngnathus acus (greater pipefish)
Lineage: Eukaryota; Metazoa; Chordata; Actinopteri; Syngnathiformes; Syngnathidae
Exons: 3
Source: RefSeq, a predicted model, not a curated record